CUCAUUCAUUUAAUUUCCCGUCGGUUACGUCUCAUCCCUUAUCCCAAAUUAAAUUGUUAUCGUUCUUCUUGGCCUAUGGUUCUUGAGACGAGAGAGGGUGUUGGGGGUCUUUCCGGCAACUACCUGCUACUCCGAUCACCACCUUCCUUUCCUCCAAACUGAUUCAGCGAAGUCGUGAAAAAACCGAAUGAACAAUAAGGAGAAAAAGGGGUUGUGACUGUGAAGCUUUCUGGCGACGACUAGGGUUUCGGCAUGAGUCUUUUGAGGUAGCGGGUUUGUUGAGACUCUAUCUAACCAUUUAGUUAUCACAGUGCAUGGCUGAUGUCGAUUGUACCAUAAUGAUGUGAACGUCGAUGUGUAUGUGGUUGAAUUCAGUAGAUAAAACGAGCCUGUAUUUGAGGCGUGUCUUCUUCCAAAGAGUUGUCUUCUUACUAACUGUUGUUGAUCGAGAUGAUGGAUUUCGUGGGAUCGAUGAUUAUCUUCAGUCAACAAAAGAUACAUCACAUAAAUGAACGUUCUUGAGUACAUGUGCUCGUGAGGGACCAUGAGAAGGUUAUUGUGCAACAGUCCUUAUAUAUUUGCUAAGGUGUUGAUAUGAAGUCACAUUACACUGAGUGAUUAAAGAGAAGUAGAUCACUAGUGUAAAUAAAUGUAAGUUCCGUUUAUGCUUAUGUUUUUGUAUUGACGAUGACAUCCCAAACGUUUUAAAAUGAAUAAAAUACGUUUCUUCAAAAAUGUUUUGAUAACGUAUUUAUCGUGUUUUUCUGGGAACAAAUUCCGCAACAUUUUUAUUAAAAGAAGUACUCUGAUUUUUAUAAAGCAUAAAAAAAUCGGUUUUUUUUGGGCGUGAAAAAUGGGGAUGUCAAAGCCAGUCACUUAUUAGUGAACGGGUUUUGCCUUUAGGUUAGUGAUGGACCUACAUGUGGGGUGUCUACCUUACGAGUUAGUGAUGGACCCAUGUGUGGGGAGUCUACCUUACGGAUUAAUGAUGGACCCAAGGAUAGGAAUAAUUAAUAUUUAUCUAAUAUUAAAAAAAUAAAUAAUAA
Non-coding RNA from Lactuca sativa (garden lettuce), 1046 nucleotides. Lineage: Eukaryota; Viridiplantae; Streptophyta; Magnoliopsida; Asterales; Asteraceae. The record is from RefSeq and is a predicted model, not a curated record.